AUACGGAGGGUGCAAGCGUUAAUCGGAAUUACUGGGCGUAAAGCGUACGUAGGCGGUUCGUUAAGUUAGAUGUGAAAGCCCCGGGCUUAACCUGGGAACUGCAUUUAAAACUGGCGAACUAGAGUUGAGUAGAGGGGAGUGGAAUUUCAGGUGUAGCGGUGAAAUGCGUAGAGAUCUGAAGGAACACCAGUGGCGAAGGCGACUCCCUGGACUCGAACUGACGCUGAGGUACGAAAGCGUGGGUAGCAAACGGGAUUAGAAACCCUGUAGUCC
RNAcentral lists this ribosomal RNA (273 nucleotides) under uncultured bacterium. RNAcentral's name for it is "partial 16S ribosomal RNA". It matches the Rfam family "Bacterial small subunit ribosomal RNA", at positions 523 to 796 of the family's 1533-position model. The record is from RNAcentral.